Molecule: long non-coding RNA, 1365 nt
Filed under: Fukomys damarensis (Damara mole-rat)
Lineage: Eukaryota; Metazoa; Chordata; Mammalia; Rodentia; Bathyergidae
Description: lncRNA (ENSFDAG00000032659.1)
Source: RNAcentral
GCUGUGUGUAAGAACAGAACUUAUUUAAAGGAUUUCUGAAAGUCUACCUGUUAAGGGGACAUAUACAACUUGAGAGAUAGCACUGCUCUUCCCGAAGUCAUUCUGGAAGGCAAAAUUUUUCAGAAAAAGGAAAAAGGAGUAGAGGGGGUUGGUGACAACUGUCUUCAAUAAGCCCGAAACCAUAGAACAGUUCGCAAGGUGCUUCCAACAAAGUUUCUGACACGGGGAUAGCUGUGCAGUAGCAGGAAGUAGUACGUAAAAGAGUAGAGACUUUUCUAUGAGACGGAAGUGAGUUUGAAUUCUGGCUUUGCAACUUGCCAGGUGUGCGACACUAGACAAGCCCGUCACCCCAGUAGCCUCCCAGUCCUCAUCUGUAAGGUGGGGUUAGUGAUAUUCAACAGAUUGCUGUGGGACACGGACAAGUAUGGCGCACGAAAUAUUUAGUGAACUGGAGAGGUUUAAGGCACACGUUUCCUCUCUGCUCAUCGUAGGAAUUCUGGGAGGAGGAGGAAGAUGUCAUCAUUUUCGAUGUUGUUUAUAUUGUCGCUUUCCCAAUUAUCAUUAAGCUCCAUGGGACGAGGAAGGCACUAGACCCUGUAACCACAGAGCCCAACAUGGAUGCUCCAGAAACGUGCUGAGCAAACGAAUCCCCACCCCUGAGUCCCUGGGGUGGGUUGCAGCACGGGGCCGCCUCCGGCUGUGAGACCCUCCAAGCAGCCUUGCCAUCCCCCUGCUCUGCCCUUGGGCUCGCGCGCCGCCUCCCGGAACGCGCGGAGGGACCGUUCGCCGAGGCCAUCACCGCCUUACCCCAGGCCCCGCUCCAGUCUCAGUCUCGCUCUGCCCACACCUGCGCGCGGACGCCAAGCCUUGGGCCUCAAGAGGCCCAGCCCAUUUGGGUCUCCAGGACGCGGUUGCCCAAGCGACGAGCUCACUCCUCGAUUGGAGAACAGGUCUCAAGCCCUGGCAAGAAGCGGAUUUACCAUUGGUCAAGUGAAGACAGCUGGCAGGAAAGAGGCGGAGCCAGGCCAGCGGUUCCGCCCCCGGAAGAAGCGGGAGCCGAGCAGCUGACGUCACGAUUGUUCAUCUCCUCAGUAAUCAAGAAGAAACUCUGGGAUCGUGCAGGGCUGCUGGCAAGGAUCCUCCGCCCGCCCAGCAGAUCUGAGGUCCGCAUCCCACUCUGAACACUGAGACGGGGCUGUCCCCACCUCGGUCACCCCAGUGAUCUUGUGAUUGGAGAUUCUGCACAGCAGGACCUGAUCGAGCCCUGAGGAGUCGCACGUUGUUUCCCACACCUCGGAAUGAAGGCCGGAAGGACACACACGUGACCUGCAUGUGCCACUGUCCCCUGGCCACUGUCCUUCUGAC